Molecule: ribosomal RNA, 532 nt
Filed under: uncultured Bacteroidota bacterium
Lineage: Bacteria; Pseudomonadati; Bacteroidota
Description: bacterial SSU rRNA
Rfam family: Bacterial small subunit ribosomal RNA
Source: RNAcentral
GAUGAGCAUGCGUCCCAUUAGCUAGUUGGUAAGGUAACGGCUUACCAAGGCUACGAUGGGUAGGGGUCCUGAGAGGGAGAUCCCCCACACUGGUACUGAGACACGGACCAGACUCCUACGGGAGGCAGCAGUGAGGAAUAUUGGUCAAUGGGCGCAAGCCUGAACCAGCCAUGCCGCGUGCAGGAUGAAGCAUCUAUGGUGUGUAAACUGCUUUUGUACGAGAAGAAACACUCCUACGUGUAGGAGCUUGACGGUAUCGUAAGAAUAAGGACCGGCUAACUCCGUGCCAGCAGCCGCGGUAAUACGGAGGGUCCAAGCGUUAUCCGGAAUCAUUGGGUUUAAAGGGUCCGUAGGCGGUUUAGUAAGUCAGUGGUGAAAGCCCAUCGCUCAACGGUGGAACGGCCAUUGAUACUGCUAAACUUGAAUUAUUAGGAAGUAACUAGAAUAUGUAGUGUAGCGGUGAAAUGCUUAGAGAUUACAUGGAAUACCAAUUGCGAAGGCAGGUUACUACUAAUUGAUUGACGCUGAUGGA